This 553-nucleotide ribosomal RNA is filed under the name Kluyveromyces marxianus. Its description in RNAcentral is "partial 26S ribosomal RNA". It matches the Rfam family "Eukaryotic large subunit ribosomal RNA", at positions 56 to 650 of the family's 3401-position model. Lineage: Eukaryota; Fungi; Ascomycota; Saccharomycetes; Saccharomycetales; Saccharomycetaceae. The record is from RNAcentral. RNAcentral also lists the same sequence under 2 other names.
GAAAAGAAACCAACCGGGAUUGCCUUAGUAACGGCGAGUGAAGCGGCAAAAGCUCAAAUUUGAAAUCUGGCGUCUUCGACGUCCGAGUUGUAAUUUGAAGAAGGCGACUUUGUAGCUGGUCCUUGUCUAUGUUCCUUGGAACAGGACGUCAUAGAGGGUGAGAAUCCCGUGUGGCGAGGAUCCCAGUUAUUUGUAAAGUGCUUUCGACGAGUCGAGUUGUUUGGGAAUGCAGCUCUAAGUGGGUGGUAAAUUCCAUCUAAAGCUAAAUAUUGGCGAGAGACCGAUAGCGAACAAGUACAGUGAUGGAAAGAUGAAAAGAACUUUGAAAAGAGAGUGAAAAAGUACGUGAAAUUGUUGAAAGGGAAGGGCAUUUGAUCAGACAUGGCGUUUGCUUCGGCUUUCGCUGGGCCAGCAUCAGUUUUAGCGGUUGGAUAAAUCCUCGGGAAUGUGGCUCUGCUUCGGUAGAGUGUUAUAGCCCGUGGGAAUACAGCCAGCUGGGACUGAGGAUUGCGACUUUUGUCAAGGAUGCUGGCGUAAUGGUUAAAUGCCGCCC